GGGCGUUAAGUUGCAGGGUAUAGACCCGAAACCCGGUGAUCUAGCCAUGGGCAGGUUGAAGGUUGGGUAACACUAACUGGAGGACCGAACCGACUAAUGUUGAAAAAUUAGCGGAUGACCUGUGGCUGGGGGUGAAAGGCCAAUCAAACCGGGAGAUAGCUGGUUCUCCCCGAAAGCUAUUUAGGUAGCGCCUCGUGAAUUCAUCUCCGGGGGUAGAGCACUGUUUCGGCUAGGGGGCCAUCCCGGCUUACCAACCCGAUGCAAACUGCGAAUACCGGAGAAUGUUAUCACGGGAGACACACGGCGGGUGCUAACGUCCGUCGUGAAGAGGGAAACAACCCAGACCGCCAGCUAAGGUCCCAAAGUCAUGGUUAAGUGGGAAACGAUGUGGGAAGGCCCAGACAGCCAGGAUGUUGGCUUAGAAGCAGCCAUCAUUUAAAGAAAGCGUAAUAGCUCACUGGUCGAGUCGGCCUGCGCGGAAGAUGUAACGGGGCUAAACCAUGCACCGAAGCUGCGGCAGCGACACUAUGUGUUGUUGGGUAGGGGAGCGUUCUGUAAGCCUGUGAAGGUGGCCUGUGAGGGUUGCUGGAGGUAUCAGAAGUGCGAAUGCUGACAUAAGUAACGAUAAAGCGGGUGAAAAGCCCGCUCGCCGGAAGACCAAGGGUUCCUGUCCAACGUUAAUCGGGGCAGGGUGAGUCGACCCCUAAGGCGAGGCCGAAAGGCGUAGUCGAUGGGAAACGGGUUAAUAUUCCCGUACUUGGUGUUACUGCGAAGGGGGGACGGAGAAGGCUAUGUUGGCCGGGCGACGGUUGUCCCGGUUUAAGCGUGUAGGCUGGUUUUCCAGGCAAAUCCGGAAAAUCAAGGCUGAGGCGUGAUGACGAGGCACUACGGUGCUGAAGCAACAAAUGCCCUGCUUCCAGGAAAAGCCUCUAAGCAUCAGGUAACAC
This 947-nucleotide ribosomal RNA is filed under the name Salmonella enterica. RNAcentral's name for it is "partial 23S ribosomal RNA". It matches the Rfam family "Bacterial large subunit ribosomal RNA", at positions 690 to 1637 of the family's 2925-position model. Lineage: Bacteria; Pseudomonadati; Pseudomonadota; Gammaproteobacteria; Enterobacterales; Enterobacteriaceae. The record is from RNAcentral.